Molecule: microRNA, 25 nt
Filed under: Equus caballus (horse)
Lineage: Eukaryota; Metazoa; Chordata; Mammalia; Perissodactyla; Equidae
Description: eca-miR-1905c
Source: miRBase by way of RNAcentral
CACCACCAGCCCCACCACGCGGUAG